Molecule: ribosomal RNA, 497 nt
Filed under: uncultured bacterium
Lineage: Bacteria
Description: partial 16S ribosomal RNA
Rfam family: Bacterial small subunit ribosomal RNA
Source: RNAcentral
GAUGAACGCUGGCGGCGUGCCUAAUACAUGCAAGUCGAGCGAACAGACGAGGAGCUUGCUCCUCUGACGUUAGCGGCGGACGGGUGAGUAACACGUGGAUAACCUACCUAUAAGACUGGGAUAACUUCGGGAAACCGGAGCUAAUACCGGAUAAUAUAUUGAACCGCAUGGUUCAAUAGUGAAAGACGGUUUUGCUGUCACUUAUAGAUGGAUCCGCGCCGCAUUAGCUAGUUGGUAAGGUAACGGCUUACCAAGGCAACGAUGCGUAGCCGACCUGAGAGGGUGAUCAGCCACACUGGAACUGAGACACGGUCCAGACUCCUACGGGAGGCAGCAGUAGGGAAUCUUCCGCAAUGGGCGAAAGCCUGACGGAGCAACGCCGCGUGAGUGAUGAAGGUCUUCGGAUCGUAAAACGCUGUUAUUAGGGAAGAACAAAUGUGUAAGUAACUAUGCACGUCUUGACGGUACCUAAACAGAAAGCCACGGCUAACUACGUG